Molecule: ribosomal RNA, 253 nt
Filed under: uncultured bacterium
Lineage: Bacteria
Description: partial 16S ribosomal RNA
Rfam family: Bacterial small subunit ribosomal RNA
Source: RNAcentral
UACGGAGGAUCCAAGCGUUAUCCGGAUUUAUUGGGUUUAAAGGGUGCGCAGGCGGAAUAAUAAGUCAGUGGUGAAAUCCUGCAGCUUAACUGCAGAACUGCCAUUGAUACUGUUAUUCUUGAGUAUAGUUGAAGUGGGCGGAAUGUGUCAUGUAGCGGUGAAAUGCUUAGAUAUGACACAGAACACCAAUUGCGAAGGCAGCUCACUAAGCUAUAACUGACGCUCAUGCACGAAAGCGUGGGGAUCAAACAGG